Molecule: ribosomal RNA, 253 nt
Filed under: uncultured bacterium
Lineage: Bacteria
Description: partial 16S ribosomal RNA
Rfam family: Bacterial small subunit ribosomal RNA
Source: RNAcentral
GACAGAGGGUGCAAACGUUGUUCGGAAUUACUGGGCGUAAAGCGAGUGUAGGCGGUCCGAUAAGUCGGGGGGGAAAGCCCUGGGCUCAACCCAGGAAGUGCACUCGAAACUGCCGGGCUAGAGUAUCGGAGAGGUUGGUGGAAUUCUCGGUGUAGAGGUGAAAUUCGUAGAUAUCGAGAGGAACACCGGUGGCGAAGGCGGCCAACUGGACGAAUACUGACGCUGAGACUCGAAAGCGUGGGGAGCAAACAGG